This 494-nucleotide ribosomal RNA is filed under the name uncultured bacterium. RNAcentral describes it as "partial 16S ribosomal RNA". It matches the Rfam family "Bacterial small subunit ribosomal RNA", at positions 36 to 507 of the family's 1533-position model. The record is from RNAcentral.
UCCUCCCUCUUUCUUCGCGCUUAACACAUGCAAGUCGAACGGAAAGGCCUGCUUUCCCUUGUGGAUUGCGGGUACUCGAGUGGCGAACGGGUGAGUAACACGUGAGUGAUCUGCCCCCAACUUGGGUAUAAGCCUGGGAAACUGGGUCUAAUUCCCGAUAGGACUGCAGUGUGGUGCCUGUGGUGGAACACGAUUUUCUAGUGGUUGGGGAUGAGCUCGCGGCCUAUCAGCUUGUUGGUGGGGUAAUGGCCUACCAAGGCGGCGACGGGUAGCCGGCCUGAGAGGGUGGACGGCCACAGUGGGACUGAGAUACGGCCCAGACUCCGACGGGAGGCAGCAGUGGGGAAUAGUGCACAAGGGGCGGAAGCCUGAUGCAGCGACGCCGCGGGGGGGAUGACGGCCUUCGGGUUGUAAACUCCUUUCGACCGCGAGGAAGCCACCUGGUUGGAAGGGUGGUGACGGUAGUGGUAGAAGAAGCACCGGCUAACUACGUG